RNAcentral lists this ribosomal RNA (424 nucleotides) under Staphylococcus aureus. RNAcentral's name for it is "bacterial SSU rRNA". It matches the Rfam family "Bacterial small subunit ribosomal RNA", at positions 1 to 414 of the family's 1533-position model. Lineage: Bacteria; Bacillati; Bacillota; Bacilli; Caryophanales; Staphylococcaceae. The record is from RNAcentral.
UUUAUGGAGAGUUUGAUCCUGGCUCAGGAUGAACGCUGGCGGCGUGCCUAAUACAUGCAAGUCGAGCGAACGGACGAGAAGCUUGCUUCUCUGAUGUUAGCGGCGGACGGGUGAGUAACACGUGGAUAACCUACCUAUAAGACUGGGAUAACUUCGGGAAACCGGAGCUAAUACCGGAUAAUAUUUUGAACCGCAUGGUUCAAAAGUGAAAGACGGUCUUGCUGUCACUUAUAGAUGGAUCCGCGCUGCAUUAGCUAGUUGGUAAGGUAACGGCUUACCAAGGCAACGAUGCAUAGCCGACCUGAGAGGGUGAUCGGCCACACUGGAACUGAGACACGGUCCAGACUCCUACGGGAGGCAGCAGUAGGGAAUCUUCCGCAAUGGGCGAAAGCCUGACGGAGCAACGCCGCGUGAGUGAUGAAGG